Molecule: unclassified non-coding RNA, 426 nt
Filed under: Hevea brasiliensis (rubber tree)
Lineage: Eukaryota; Viridiplantae; Streptophyta; Magnoliopsida; Malpighiales; Euphorbiaceae
Source: RNAcentral
AAGCAACAACAGAUAUUGGCACUACAUCAAAGUAGACAAUAUGUUAAAAUGAAUUGAAACAUUUGAAAUAGUAACAGUUCAAACAUCCAAUUCUAAAGUGACAAUUUCUGAAUAACCUUUUUCCUUCUUGUUUUACAACUUCCUUUUAUUAGACCAUAUAUCAUAUGUUGAGUAACAAAGGAGAAUUACAAACAUGCCAUCUAAACUACUCUAUCCCUCAAAAGGCCAAUCCAAACUAGUUUGAAACUAAGAAUAAGUUGAGUUAUCCUAUCCUAUCCCCAAAACCUUUCCUAUCAUAUUUGGCCUUGGUGCAUGCACACACAUACAAAUGUAUAAAAAGAGUAGAAUUAAUUUUAAAAUUCAGAAACAAAAGUCAGUCUAAUGCAGCUGCAUUUACAAAAAUCAUGGAAAAAAAUUCAGGGAAAA